GUGGGGAAUAUUGGACAAUGGGCGAAAGCCUGAUCCAGCAAUGCCGCGUGAGUGAAGAAGGCCUUAGGGUUGUAAAACUCUUUCGCCGGUGAAGAUGAUGACGGUAGCCGGUAAAGAAGCCCCGGCUAACUCCGUGCCAGCAGCCGCGGUAAUACGGAGGGGGCUAGCGUUGUUCGGAAUUACUGGGCGUAAAGCGCGCGUAGGCGGCGCACGCAGUCAGAGGUGAAAGGCCUGGGCUCAACCCAGGAACUGCCUUUGAUACUGGUGUGCUAGAGUCCGGGAGAGGGUAGUGGAAUUCCCAGUGUAGAGGUGAAAUUCGUAGAUAUUGGGAAGAACACCGGUUGCGAAGGCGGCUACCUGGAACGGUACUGACGCUGAGGUGCGAAAGCGUGGGGAGCAAACAGG
RNAcentral lists this ribosomal RNA (405 nucleotides) under uncultured bacterium. Its description in RNAcentral is "bacterial SSU rRNA". It matches the Rfam family "Bacterial small subunit ribosomal RNA", at positions 354 to 776 of the family's 1533-position model. The record is from RNAcentral.